UGGUGCGAAUUCUCUUUGACUAGGGAUCCAAAGAGGGUGCUAGACCCUUACGCAUUGUUGACUUUUCGUACGCGUUCGUUUCUUGGAGUAGGGUUGUUUUGGAUCGCAGCCCAAAGUAGGUGGUAUACUUCAUCUAAAGCUAAAUACGACUACGAAUCCGAUAGCAAACAAGUACCGUGAGGGAAAGUUGCAAAGUACUUUGAAGAGAGAGUUCAAGAGGACGUGAAACCGGUAGGGUGGAAGCAGAUAAAGUUGACGAACGUGUGUCGUAUUCAGAACUACAAUUUGUGGUUUGUUUUUACGAUCGAUGUGGGCUGGCGUCUUUGGUUAACUUAGUGUCUGGCGGCAAUGGUGACCCUGCGGAGGGAUAAUCGGUUGUCGUGCGAUGCUUGGUAUGGCUAGAGGUUCGCUGGUCUUAUAGUCAUCGCUUUAUCUGACCCGUCUUGAAACACGGACCAAGGAGUGUAGCGCUUACGCGAGUCUUAGAGUGUGUCAAAACUUUGAGGCGUAACGAAAGUAAAUGUGGAUUUAUUCACUGACUUGGGAUGCGUUGUCUUUUUUGGAUAGCGUUGGACCAUGGUUUUAUCGUAAUCGCUUGCGAUGCG
This 605-nucleotide ribosomal RNA is filed under the name Steinernema sp. KK3.1TH. RNAcentral describes it as "eukaryotic LSU rRNA". It matches the Rfam family "Eukaryotic large subunit ribosomal RNA", at positions 176 to 818 of the family's 3401-position model. The record is from RNAcentral. Lineage: Eukaryota; Metazoa; Nematoda; Chromadorea; Rhabditida; Steinernematidae. RNAcentral also lists the same sequence under 49 other names.